Molecule: unclassified non-coding RNA, 283 nt
Filed under: Hevea brasiliensis (rubber tree)
Lineage: Eukaryota; Viridiplantae; Streptophyta; Magnoliopsida; Malpighiales; Euphorbiaceae
Source: RNAcentral
GAUGGUAUUGUUAGCCGCUUUCAGGUCAGUUCACUCCCAAUUUUCUAGUAUAACUAAUUAAACUCCUACAAGUUAUGCAAGUUAUAACAUCAUUGGUGACCAUGCCACGGACUAUUUGUUGUGCAAACUGCUAAUGAAUGGGGCUCAUGUUAUAUAAAUGGAACAAUAAUCAUAUCCCAGAUAUGAGUUGUAUUUUAAGUGCCAAAAUUUUGUUUAUAGAAAUAAUGCAAUGUAAUAUGAUUUUCCCUCCUUUUUCUUGAUUGAAAAUUAUAUGCUUAAUUUG